This 497-nucleotide ribosomal RNA is filed under the name uncultured bacterium. RNAcentral describes it as "partial 16S ribosomal RNA". It matches the Rfam family "Bacterial small subunit ribosomal RNA", at positions 28 to 507 of the family's 1533-position model. The record is from RNAcentral.
GAUGAACGCUGGCGGCGUGCCUAAUACAUGCAAGUCGAGCGAACGGACGAGAAGCUUGCUUCUCUGAUGUUAGCGGCGGACGGGUGAGUAACACGUGGAUAACCUACCUAUAAGACUGGGAUCACUUCGGGAAACCGGAGCUAAUACCGGAUAAUCUUUUGAACCGCAUGGUUCAAAAGUGAAAGAAGGUCUUGCUGUCACUUAUAGAUGGAUCCGCGCUGCAUUAACUAGUUGGUAAGGUAACGGCUUACCAAGGCAACGAUCCAUAGCCGACCUGAGAGGGUGAUCGGCCACACUGGAACUGAGACACGGUCCAGACUCCUACGGGAGGCAGCAGUAGGGAAUCUUCCGCAAUGGGCGAAAGCCUGACGGAGCAACGCCGCGUGAGUGAUGAAGGUCUUCGGAUCGUAAAACUCUGUUAUUAGGGAAGAACAUAUGUGUAAGUAACUGUGCACAUCUUGACGGUACCUAAUCAGAAAGCCACGGCUAACUACGUG